UCAGGACCAACGCUGGCGGCGUGCCUAAUACAUGCAAGUCGAGCGGACAUGGAGCUUGCUCCCUGAUGUUAGCGGCGGAGCUUUUGACCCGGCAUUUGGCCCACCUUCUCAUGUGCAUGCGGAUACCGGUCAUACUGUCGUAUUUUACAACGCUUGGCGAUGAUAAUCCUGAUUCCCCUUAUACCGGACUCCCCCUCUGGUUCGAGAUCAUACCACGAUUAUCGAUCAAAAUCCUCUGUAAAGCAUUGAGCAACUCGGUCUGUACAAUAAAUCUUAAAAAGCAGAAUUCGUAUUAAUGCAACCUAAUCUGUGAUAUCACAGUAUGGGCAUGCAAUCCCAUUAAUAUUUCAAGGUCAACAAAAUGCCCUCCCAUUUCAAAUUACCCAUGGGAAAAAUGCGGGUAUCCGUAAACGUUCCCCCAGAACAAAAACCCCUUGUGAAAAAAUA
Molecule: unclassified non-coding RNA, 447 nt
Filed under: uncultured Bacillus sp.
Lineage: Bacteria; Bacillati; Bacillota; Bacilli; Caryophanales; Bacillaceae
Description: partial contains 16S ribosomal RNA, 16S-23S ribosomal RNA intergenic spacer, and 23S ribosomal RNA
Source: RNAcentral